UACGUAGGGUGCAAGCGUUGUCCGGAAUUAUUGGGCGUAAAGAGCUCGUAGGCGGUCUGUUGCGUCGACGGUGAAAACCCUCAGCUCAACUGGGGGCCUGCCGUCGAUACGGGCAGACUUGAGUGCGGUAGGGGAGACCGGAAUUCCUGGUGUAGCGGUGAAAUGCGCAGAUAUCAGGAGGAACACCGGUGGCGAAGGCGGGUCUCUGGGCCGUCACUGACGCUGAGGAGCGAAAGCGUGGGGAGCGAACAGG
Molecule: ribosomal RNA, 253 nt
Filed under: uncultured bacterium
Lineage: Bacteria
Also listed under: 1 other name
Description: partial 16S ribosomal RNA
Rfam family: Bacterial small subunit ribosomal RNA
Source: RNAcentral